Molecule: long non-coding RNA, 1513 nt
Filed under: Capsella rubella
Lineage: Eukaryota; Viridiplantae; Streptophyta; Magnoliopsida; Brassicales; Brassicaceae
Description: long non-coding RNA (CRUB_LNC002806)
Source: RNAcentral
CUGCCAUGAGAUUACAACUCUCCACCAGUCAUUAAUUAUGGUAUUUUCUAGAUGCUAAACUUUUUUUUAAGAUAGAUAUGAUUAAAUCGUACAGAAAUUUUCGUUACCUAACCUGAUUCAUACUCUACUACUAACCUAUUUAUUCCACGUUGAUAAACUCUGUUUCUUUUGAAACUGAAACUGACAUAGACGAGACUAUUACUUUUAUCUCAUGAUGAAAAAUGAUGGAUGUCAAGUAGUAUUAAUAUCUUUAAACUACUCUUAACCUAAAAAAAAUUGAAAACCCUAAAUUAAUAUACUCGUACUCCUGAUAGCAAGUUUAACCACAAAAUUCAAUUACAAACAGAAUAUUCUUGAAUGAUACUUGGAUUAUUUAAGAGAUGGUUGUAACUUUUUUUUUUUUUUUUUUCUAAACGAGAUGGUUGUAACUUGUACGUGGGAGUGUUAAGUACUCACUUUUGAAAUUAAAAUAUUUACAAACUUGGUAUCACAGAGACCAUAUGCAUUACACAUACAUACAUAUAUGGUAUUCAAUCACUCCAUAUACACACACACACACAAUACAUAUUGUUGUUAAAAGUUACUUAACAAGAUUGCUGUUAAAAAAAAUUACAAACCGGCCACAAAAAUUGAUCUUUAUCUAUAAGUAUGGUCGUUCUUGUGGCCGUUUUGUAGAUCAUUGUUCAUAUAAAAUAUGACAAAACAUUAAAAAAGUUCGAAAAAAAUACGAGUUUGAUUAACGGAUAUCAUUGUGUUUUUUUAGUUAUGUUUUUGGGUUAUAACUUAUAAGGUAUAAAUAGAUAAAAUUUGUGUUAUAGACAUGCAUAUUAAUAUAGGCUGGAGUUAAUAUAGGUUAGACUAGUGAAUAGUGAUGGAGUUCACCUCUAUCUCUAUAACAUUUACAAGAAGACGUGUAUGUAUGUAGACAUGCAAAUUAAUAUAGGGGUUGAUGGGAGGUUGAAUUGAAUUUGGGUAUACGAAGACAAAACGGAAAAGAGUUGCAAAAAGAAAGCAAAAGGCCUAACUUGUAGGCAGGAAGAGUGGUGGAAGUAUGAUGUAGAAAGAGCAAAGUGACAUCUCUUUAUUUUGUUUUGUUUUGUUGUUUAUUUUUGAGACACAAUCUUCCCAUUUGUUCACUUCAAUGUUCCUUCAUCUUGCUUUCGGUCAUUUCCUAUGCCCCAUUCGCUCUCUCAACUUUUCUCCUUACAACCAAAUUCUAUUUCUUUCCUUUUUUUUCUUCCGCACACUAUACAUAUUGACAUUGUAGUUUGGUAUUGUAUUGGGGGAUUAACUUUAUAAGGAGUGUCAAUGGGCCAAGGCUUGAAGAAUUGUUGAUUAGUGAGUCUUGAAAAGUGACCAGGGAGGAAAACUUAGUUUAAGGUUCAAGCCUAUGUGUGGAUGGAUCACUCAAGAACUCUGCCUCUGAAGCCCUUUAACAAUGUUUGGCCCACUGGCACUGACUAUGAAAUUAGGAUCGAAUUUUGUACGGAUCAUCAAUCAAAAACCAAACUAC